This 253-nucleotide ribosomal RNA is filed under the name uncultured bacterium. Its description in RNAcentral is "partial 16S ribosomal RNA". It matches the Rfam family "Bacterial small subunit ribosomal RNA", at positions 524 to 776 of the family's 1533-position model. The record is from RNAcentral.
UACGUAGGGUGCAGGCGUUGUCCGGAAUUAUUGGGCGUAAAGAGCUCGUAGGCGGUCUGUCGCGUCUGCUGUGAAAACUCAGGGCUUAACCCUGAGCUUGCAGUGGGUACGGGCAGACUAGAGUGCGGUAGGGGAGACUGGAAUUCCUGGUGUAGCGGUGAAAUGCGCAGAUAUCAGGAGGAACACCGGUGGCGAAGGCGGGUCUCUGGGCCGUAACUGACGCUGAGGAGCGAAAGCAUGGGGAGCGAACAGG